Molecule: non-coding RNA, 3317 nt
Organism: Anas platyrhynchos (mallard)
Lineage: Eukaryota; Metazoa; Chordata; Aves; Anseriformes; Anatidae
Source: RefSeq, a predicted model, not a curated record
GGCGGCGGGGGGAAGACUACAUUUCCCGGCAGGCAGCGCGGGCCGGGCGGCGGCGCGGGGAGAAGCCGGUCGCUCCAAGAUGGCGGUCGAUAAGGACCUGCUGCAGCUGGACCUGUACGGGCUGCUGGGGGUCGGCGAGAAGGCGUCGGAGAAGGAGAUUAAGAAAGCGUACCGCCAGAAGGCCCUGACAUGUCACCCAGAUAAGAACCCAGACAAUCCCAGAGCAGGUCUCUUCCAUAAGGGAUUGUCUUUUUUGGUUCAUCUCCAAGCCACUGCCAUGGUUUUCUGCAUCUUACCCUUUUUUCUUCUAAUUCCCAGCGGAAGUCUUCCACCAACUGUCUCAGGCCUUAGCUGUGCUAACAGAUGCAGCAGCAAGGAUCUUGAAGCCAGGGAACGAGAAGCUCAGACCCGUGACAGCGAAGAGGAGGAGAUCCGGAUCACAAGGACCUUAGAACAAGAGAUAAUACGGCUGCGUGAAGAAGGCUCUCGUCAGCUUGAAGAGCAGCAGAGGCUCAUUCGAGAACAGAUCCGGCUUGAAAGAGAGCAGCGCAUCCAAGGCAGGCAAGAAGGAAAUGGAGCAGAAGGCAGAAUAACUCCCAAACUCAAACUAAAAUGGAAAUGCAGGAAAGAAGAUGAGACAGGAGGAGGAUACUCAAAAGAUGUUCUGUUGCGGAUUCUCCAAAAGUAUGGUGAUGUGCUAAAUUUGUUGAUCUCCAGCAGGAAGACUGGGAGUGCAGUUGUGGAAUUUGCUACGGUUAAGGCUGCUGAGAUGGCUGUGAAGAAUGAAGUUGGCCUGACAAAUAAUCCUCUAAAGAUUUCGUGGCUGGAAGGCCAGCCUCAGAACAAUCCCAGCACUGUCCUUUCUGACAGCAGUAGUCAGCCUAGGACUUCACAGGCAUCUGUGGUCUCAGAGAGGGAUUACGAGAGCCUGGUGAUGAUGCGGAUGCGCCAAGCCGCAGAGAGGCAGCAGCUGAUUGAACAGCUCAAGCGGGAAGAUGAGGAAGAGUCUCACACCUAGCAGGAGAGAGAAUACAGACUGCACAUGACUGCAGUGCUUUCCAGAGAACAGGGAAAGAUGGCUGCAUAAGCUUCAGAUUUCUGCCAGCUCUGUGCAUUUGGAACAGGAACUAACCUUGGCUCCACCUGGUCCUUCAGGCUCAGCAGAAGACCUGAGGGCUGUGAGAAUGCUCCCACCAUCAAGGAAAUUAGGUGGUGGUUGUGGAGAGGAAGAACGGCACAAUACAGACACACAACGUGUUGAAUGAGCUUGGGAAGCAGCAGAGCCAAAACGGCAAGUGUAACCUUCAGCACUAGCUUCGGCAGCCUUUCCUUUCCGUUCCUCUAACGCAGCCAUUUGGGCUGAAGUAUUUAUUCAAGCAGAUGGGAUGAGCUUCAUAAUUGUUCAUUUCUUAGAUGACUCACUGUGCCAGAUAAGCUGCUAAUGAUGGGCUAUGGGAUCUUCGGUGAUCUUGCUUGGGCAUCAUAACAAAGCCUGUCCUGACUUUCAUACCAGUAACAAUAAAAAAGACGAAAAAGCAUUUGCAAAGUUUCUAAGGUUGCAAAACAUUAAUAGUGGUGAAUACUUUUUAAAGCCUAAAAUGACACUAAGAUGUGAAAGUUUUUUUCAGUUUCUCAAGACAGACUAUACUUUGCUGUAAUUAUAGAUGUGGUGUAAAGAUAAUAUGUAUUAUUAUAAGUGUCUUUGAACUUGAUGCUUUCUCUAAGAGGCUUGCUACAUACCCUUCGGAUUCACAUGUUCAAGUUGGUAAAUAUUAUUGCCAUGAUGCAGAAGGAGCUGAGGCAGGGAUUGUUUGCUAUUUGUAGGAGCCUAAAAAACUGACUGGCUGAGCUAAAAGCAGAAGACAAGCUGAGUUGCCUAGGGCCUUAAACACAACUCUGCGUUGAAUGAAACAAAAGAUCACACACAACGUGUAUCGAGCACACCGCCCUCUCCAUCUGAAUCAGGAUGGAGUGGCUGGGAACAUUUGUAAAGCCUUUCCUCCCAGCUGAGAGCCAGCAGGGAACAGAGAAGUCGCCUCAGAUGGGAGAGGACUUCUGCACUUGCACAUUGAGGCGCUUAUAAUUACAGGAGGACAUCGCCGACUGAUCAUCCACACAUGCACGUCCACCUGGGCAUGCAGGUUGCCCAAGAAGCCCCUGUUCUGCAGCAGCCAAAGGCAACAGCAUGAAGCUGACACUGCUGCCAAUCUCCUCGCCACCCACGGGGUUGGGAAUAGCAGCAUGGAGAUGGCUCAGCCCUGCAAACCCACCCCAGAGCUGCAAGCGAUGGAAAGGAGCCAUUGGAGAGGUCAGGAUCAGCCCUCCUGCAGAGGCAGGUGGCCCGAGUUUGCAUUCAGGAGGGUUUCUCUUCACCAGACAGCCUUUGAUUUUUAUUUGAUUCUUUUUCCUGCUCUUUAAUCUUCUAGGUUUUUGGUGCUGCGGCAGUGGAGGAGCUGGACCUCGAUGCUUGCCAGCCUGGUGCUGAGGGGGUGGGUCUUCCCAGCCCUGCCGGCGGCAGUCUGAGAACAUUCUGGGACCAAGAAGCCCCUUCUGCUUCACGCCUGGUUUUCCUCCUACUCCUCCUCUGUGCUGUGGCGCGAGUGGGCAAGCUUGAGCAGAAAUCUGACUGUUCCUCUCUGUUUUAAUUUGCAUUUGGGAGGGGGGUUGUUUUGCUUAGUCUUGGAGAAAAACAAGAAGUUGAGAUACCAAAUGGGGGGGGGAAGUGGGCCAAGAUGUAAGGAAUAGGAUGGCAGCAUUUCCAAGUUGCACCCUCCUGAAAGCUGUUGUCAAACUUGGUGUGGGCAGAGAGAGACGUGGGGAUGCAGGGAAGUGUCAGAUAUGUAUGGUUUAGGAAUGCACAGGGUGGGGACAUGGAGCAGCUCUAACCCUGGGGCUCAGCUGCCCAAGGAAAGGCAUCUGGGGCUGUCAAGAGGGGCUGGCUCGGGUGCUCAAUAACGGGGAGAAAACUCAAGCUAGGGUGGGGAGUGGGCAGGACAGGCUGUGGAUGAGCAUCUGGGGUCAUUUGGCACCAAAACAGGCCGGAGCAAGGCUGUGCAGGAGGAGGGAUGGACUUGAUUUGCUCCUGAGCAUCUUGGGGCUGGAAAUGGUAACAAGACAGAGGUUUGUCUUUGAGAGCUAGGGAUGGGAUAAAGGCAGAUAGUUAUGCAGAAAGAUUAAAGUGCUCACUGUGCCUGUUUUAUUUCAGCCAGGGCAUGUGUCAGGUAGUAACCAGAAGCAUCCCAAGCAUGUAAGGAUGGGGAGAAGGUGGGUCAGGAGCUAAAACGGGGUCACGGUGAGGAGAAAAAAAAAAAGAAAAA